RNAcentral lists this transfer RNA (72 nucleotides) under Camelus bactrianus (Bactrian camel). It matches the Rfam family "tRNA". From Rfam's summary of the family: Transfer RNA (tRNA) molecules are approximately 80 nucleotides in length. Their secondary structure includes four short double-helical elements and three loops (D, anti-codon, and T loops). Lineage: Eukaryota; Metazoa; Chordata; Mammalia; Artiodactyla; Camelidae. RNAcentral also lists the same sequence under 2 other names. The record is from Rfam by way of RNAcentral.
GAGGGUAUAGCUCAGUGGUAGAGUGUGUGCUUGGCAUGCACAAGGUCCUGGGUUCAAGCCCCAGUACCUCCA